AGUGAACGCUGGCGGUAGGCCUAACACAUGCAAGUCGAACGGCAGCACAGUAAGAGCUUGCUCUUACGGGUGGCGAGUGGCGGACGGGUGAGGAAUACAUCGGAAUCUACUUUUUCGUGGGGGAUAACGUAGGGAAACUUACGCUAAUACCGCAUACGACCUACGGGUGAAAGCAGGGGAUCUUCGGACCUUGCGCGAUUGAAUGAGCCGAUGUCGGAUUAGCUAGUUGGCGGGGUAAAGGCACACCAAGGCGACGAUCCGUAGCUGGUCUGAGAGGGUGAUCAGCCACACUGGAACUGAGACACGGUCCAGACUCCUACGGGAGGCAGCAGUGGGGAAUAUUGGACAAUGGGCGCAAGCCUGAUCCAGCCAUACCGCGUGAGUGAAGAAGGCCUUCGGGUUGUAAAGCCCUUUUGUUGGGAAAGAAAAGCAGCAGGUUAAUACCCCGCUGUUCUGACGGUACCCAAAGAAUAAGCACCGGCUAACUUCGUG
This 492-nucleotide ribosomal RNA is filed under the name uncultured bacterium. RNAcentral describes it as "partial 16S ribosomal RNA". It matches the Rfam family "Bacterial small subunit ribosomal RNA", at positions 29 to 507 of the family's 1533-position model. The record is from RNAcentral.